Mercenaria mercenaria is the source of this 6235-nucleotide long non-coding RNA. RefSeq lists it as uncharacterized. The record is from RefSeq and is a predicted model, not a curated record. The transcript is spliced from 3 exons. Lineage: Eukaryota; Metazoa; Mollusca; Bivalvia; Venerida; Veneridae.
GCAUGGACAUGGUCCAUGGUCAGCUUUUCUGCUCACACUUAGAAAUUCUCUGAUGAAUAAGACAGAAAAAGUUCUAAGUCGAAAAAAUGGGAUUUUUUUUUUUAAAUUAUUAAUUCAUUACUGUCCUUAGUUUUAUGGUCAUAUAGGUAUUCAAAUUAAUUGAAAUGAAACAGGGAAUGUAACUAAAUAAAAUGUUUUCAUUUUGCAUAUUAAAAAAAAUGUAAAUUAGAAUUACAUCAUUUUAUUAAUUCAUCUUGACAGUUGAUGUAACGAGAUAUCAUACAUCAUUGAAAAUAUAUCCCACUAUAUAAGCUAUUUAUUUCUUUCAGUUUGUUACUGAACAUCUCAAACAAUGGCACCGAAAAAAAUACAGUAGUUCAUAAGGAUUAAAUGUCAUAUAGUCAAAGAAAUUGUUAUGAAAUUAUGCUCAUAUAAUUAUGUAAACUCAUCAUAUUAUAAACUGAAUUAGUCUAUAUGCCUUUGAUAAUCCAGGCAGUGAUUAAUUAUCUAGCUUUUUACAGCCAGUUAAUACACUGCUGUUCAAUGUGUACUGUUGUAUAAAUGAACACACAGAGAUAGCUAAUAACAUCUGGAGAUUCUGACCAAGAUAAAGACCAAUGGAAAUGCAGGCUUCUGAAGCCGUUUUACACAUGUAGCCCCAAGAAAUAAUCCCAAUACUUUUUUUUAUUUUUUUUCUGUGAUCUUUGCAAAUUCUGUGAGCAAAUAAAUGGAAAAAUUCUCACGAACUGUAUAUAUAUAUUUUAAGAACAUUCCAGAUAUUCCCUUCAGUAACUAUACUGUGCCAAGGAAUAUUGCUCAUGAAUACAAAAAUUUGAAUGUAAACAGGAAGUGCUUUGUUCUAGAUGUUGGAGGCAAAAUGGAAUGGAGCUAAAUAAUUUUGUACCUUGAAAUUCAAAAAUGCUUUUUGAGAGAUAUCAGAUACAAGAGUGUACAUAUUUAGUUAUUAGAAGCAUUGUCUUCAACAUGUAUGAAUGAAAUGAUGUAAUCAGAUAUUUGAUGGCUUUAGUGACUAUGCAGCAUGCUACAGGAUGAAAUGAGAUCACAGACAGAGACCCCAUCAAACACUAAACUAAAUGGCUGGAAUGAGGUUCCUGACCCUGGUGAUGGUUUUAGCAAAGCUAAUUAAGAGACAUUCUGGUGCCACCUAUAUUGAGCCAACAUAACUCCAAAAAUAAUUUUGUUGUAUUCAUAACUUUCUAUUAAAUAAUUUUAUAUUUAAUAUAUCUUGUAGUUUAAUUUUUUAGUUAAAGCUAAGUGAAUAUUUAUCAUUCUUAACCAGACAUCCACUUGUCUGAUAUGUAGAUUUGAACAAAUGCCCUGUUACGGUAGGAAGUUCAAGCCACAAUUGCCAGGCUAGGCUAAGAAGUGCUGCAUGAUGACAGGUCCUUGGAUGGCAUGGACCCAGUCCACGGAUGGCAUGGACACCAUCCAUGGAUGGCUUAGACACUGGACAAUGUCCAUGGAUGGCAUGGCCACUGUCCAUGGAUAUGCCCUGGACACUGGCCAUGGAUGCCAUGGACAUUGUCCAUGGCCACUGUCCCUGGACAGGCACGGAUUUUUAUCCAGGGAUACACAGUUUUUGUCCAUGGAUAUGUGUUCCAAUACUCCAUGGACAACAGACCAUGCUGAAAUCCAUGGAAUCCAUGGACAUACUACAGCCGGGUAAACAGCAACACCUGGUGCCAAACCACUCAAAGACAAUAUUUCGUUCCAGUUAAACUUCAAGCUCACAUUUCAGUUAACUGCAUUUAAUUUUAAAAGCUAAGCUUAUUACAGUAAGCAUAUCCUAUUCAAAAUAAAUUCUUUAGUCAGGAUCAAAGUAUCAUACAUUUGUUUUCUGUUAAAUUGAUUUUGACUAAUGAAAUUAUUUGCUUCUUAUUAACAUCCUUAACUUUUUGCCGGAUAUAUUUUUUUGCCAUUCCUCACCACAAACCCUUUCGGUGGGGGAUACCAAUUCAUCGAAUUUGCUUGUUAAAUUUUAAAUGAGAUCGAUUGUGCACGCUUCUGAUAAUAAUUAUGUUGUGGACACGUUAUUAUAAUUUUGGCGGGAAAGAAGCAUGUGCGUUUCAUGACGGAUAUUGUGUUGGCGGAAGGGCUACUCCAGCCUCUUCUCAAGCCAAUAUUAAUCAAAAAAGAAUUUGAAGCAGGAACUAAUAUUUCCUGUCCAUUUCUGGUCCUGGCAAUAAAACUUUUAGUAACGGUUACCUGUCUUAUUCUUUCGCCUCACCCGAUUAAUCUCGUAGGCGCUGCCACGGAAAACGAUACGAAUGCUGCCAUUUUUAUUCGAUGUCGCCUUGCAAAAUUCAUCAAUUUAUCGGGUGUUAAUAUGAAAAUAGCUCAGAAUCUCACAUUUCACGACUUGAAUUACAGACGGUAAACCAAAAUUCUGAACUCUAAGCACUAAAAAUGAAUUUAUUGCUGAUGCACUCUUUAUUAUAUUUUGUUGGGAAAAGAAUAAACAUGCGUUUCACGUCGUAAGUUCCCUCUUGUUGAAAAAUUCAUUAUUAAAUGUGUGCAUAUUUUCCUCGUAACAUUUCAACCUUUCAACAUUUAAAGGUGUAAGAGGCCGAUAUUUACUCUAAGUAAAGUUUCAGAAAUGUAGAUUGUCUUAGCACACAAUAUUUACGGAAGGAAAUUUGGAAAUUUUUAGAUCGACGUCCGGAGAUUAGAAGUGUAACUUUUUUCAGUAAAUCCUUCUAAACCACAUUUAAACCAUAAAUCCCUUGCCUCAUCAGAUAUCUUUCUCUCUCCCAACAUUAACUUCAUCUGUUAAAAAUAUCCAUGACAAAAUUAAAUUAUCAAAAACCUAUUAAAAGCCUAUGAAAUACGUUUUACACCACCACACUUCCUACCCAGACUGAGGUCUACCUCUCCCACAUAUAUUGAUAACAACAUGUUAGAAUUUUAGUCAUUAUAAUAGAAGAGCAGAAAGUUGCUUUAUUGUGUCAUCUAAAAUUUAGAUUUUUGUUCGCAUAUUCGCAAAAGUAUCAACAAGUCAGAUAUAAAAUGACGCAAGAUAUCUUCAUAUUUUUUAUUCAUUUGUCUUCAUGAGAAAUAUAAAAUAAUUAGUCAGAAGCAGUAGAAUAAUAAAAUGUAAUUGGCUUACCUACAUACCCAACUUCAAACAGUAGACUUGGGAGACAGCAAACAAAGACUUUUAUAAAUGUGGCCUUAGGUAAAAAACUAGGACUUAAGGUCAAAUUAUAAAGAAAACAAUGUUAAUGCUCUAAAGGAAGUGCAGUGUAUUUUAAGACCCAUAAUACUGCCUUGCUUACCUUUUGGAUUAUCUCCCUUAUAGGUGCACCUGGACACACGGUGUUUAGUAUGAGCUCUUCUGAUCACUCACCACCCGUAGGACUCCAUCCGUCCUAACUUUUCUCCUUGUAUAGCCCUUUACCAAAGUUUUUCAAAUGUUGUUCCCUGCAGAACUCUUGUUGCCAUUCCACGGUAUAUAAGCGGAAAAAGUGUCUAAAUAUUUUGGAAUUCAUGUUAUCUCGGGAAGGAACUUGGGCACUGCAUUAGGAGUGUUUCACCCAUUUUGUGUUCAUUGAUUAGGAAUUUGGCUUUAAAUGUUUAAGGUCAAGGUCACAUCACAUUGACUCAGAGAAUGAAACUGUUUUUGGAAGUUAUAAAGUGUAACAGCUACUGGCUUUCAGAAUUACACAAUGAUAUGGUAGAUCAGAGGAAUUAAUGUCCAUUGAUUUUGGGAUCAGUGGUUCAAACGUCAAGGUUGCAGGGACCUGACAUAAUUUCUGGUAAUCAUUAUGUUUUUGAACGCAGAAACUGUAACAGCUUUAGUUUUCUCAUUUUUUCUCACUUUUAUUGAUCACGUGGCAGCUCUUGAAGAGGACAACUUUAUAUUGUUUGUUGGGUCAGUAGGUUAAAGAUCAGGGUCAUAGUGACCAGGAAACUUAAUAUUGGUAUCUGAUUUCUAAGUAAUAAAGUAUACCAGCGUUGACUUUCAAACUUAACACAACAAAUACAUUCUGUAUGAGGAAUAUCCCUAUUGACCUUGGAGUCAGUAGCUUAAAGGUCAGAUGGACCUGAAUGUCAGUCUGGUAAUUUCCGGGAUCUAAAUCCCAAAGUGUAAUAGUGACAGCUUUCAAACUUUAUAAUUUAUGUUAACUAAACAUUUCUUGAAGAGGAUCUCUAUUUUUGUUGGGGGCAAAGAAAUAAAAGGUCAAGGUCAAAGAAAUCAGGAGACUUAAAUGUUUUUUGGACUGUAACUUAUCAAGUAUAAUAUCUAUAGCUUUAAGCAGUUACUGUAGGGUCAGUGACGCAACAGGUCAAGGUUAGAAAGUAUUCUUAAAUUUUGUCACUUCCAGUUCAGUUUGUUGAUAGAAAUGACAUCCCACAUCCCCGCACAUACACCACCCAACCCCUCUCCAGCCCUGUACAUUUUUCCUGCCCUGUCUGCUUACGCAUGGGGUAUUAUGCUCAGUUAGGCGGUUAGCCUUUUUCAACUUGACUUGCAGCUAGAGAUAAUCCCAUAAACCCAAAAGGUUUGCUGCAUUUUAUUCACUAGUCCCUGCUUAAGAAACAGUGACUAUAAUGUUUUAUACAAUGAUCUGUUUCAAUUUCAUGACCUUUUGGUAUGGUUAAGGGCUUAUAAUUUCGGCAAAUAUAUUAGGGUAAAGAAUAUUAACUUGAAGACAUUUUCUCAAAAAUUUGUGACAGUUUUAUCUCAAAAUGGGAAUGGUGUAUAAAAUGCGGUGAGGCAUUCGGGUACAGGGUGUCACCCAUAGCUGUAAACCCUUGUCAAUAUUGAUAAUUGGUUAAAUAUUUUAUUCCUUAUAGUGACCUUUAUAUUUUUUCACAUGUGUGCAUAAUGUCUGUAUUAUAUUGUUUUAUCUGUUAGGGAUUUAAAAGACAUUUAAAACAUGUACAGAUUUAUAUUAUUUCUUAAAUGACAAAAAAUGCAAGCAUUUUUAGCCCACCCUCAUCAAAUCACUCUGCGUCUGUGGUCCGUCGUCCGUCCUUCCGUCCGUUAACAAUUUCUCGUUAUCGCAUCUCCUCAGAAACUACUGGGGGGAUUUUGACCAAACUUUGUCAGAAUAUGUAUUGUUACCCUAGUUGUGUCCCCCUGAAAAUCAGACUGGUUCAAUAAUUUUUGAGUGACUUAUGGCCCUUUGUUUAUUUUUAUAAUUUACAUAGAUUUAUAUAGGGAAAAACUUUGAAAAUCUUCUUGUCCAAAACCACAGAGCUUAGGGCUUUGAUAUUUAGUAUGUGGCAUCAUCUAGUGGUCCUCUACCAAGAUGAUUCAAAUUAUUUCCCUGGGGUCAAAUAUGGCCCUGCCCCAGGGGUCACAUGGUUUAUAUAGACUUAUAUAGAGAAAAACUUUGAAAAACCUCUUGUCCAAAACCACAGGGCCUAGGGCUUUGAUAUUUUUUACUUUUAAAGCUUUUGACUUGAAACUCAAAAUAGUUAUUUACUAUCGAAGUCUUCACCAGGAGACACAAUUCCCAUAACUCUGAGUUGAAUUUUGACAGAGUUGUGCCUUUUUAACUUGGAUUUGUUUUUUACUGGCAAAGCUCUAAUUCAGAGACAAGCACCGAGAAAAGUCCAGCGCGCUGUCUUAUGGACAGCUCUUGUUUUUUAUCAUUAUUUUUAAUUUUUCAUCAAUAUUUAUAAUCAGCAUGUGAAGUUUUGUACCCUCACCCGGUCACCCCGGUUCCCCCCUCCCCCCCCCCCCCCCCCCCCCCCCCAAAACAAAAAAAGCAUUCAUUUUCUCUUAAAUUGAUUUUGACUAAUGAAAUUAUUUGCUUCUUAGUAACAUCCUCAACUUUUUGCCGGAUAUAUUUUUUGCCAUUCCUCACCACAAACUCUUUCGGCGGGGGAUACCAAUUCAUCGAAUUUGCUUGUUCAAUAUAGUUUUAUCUAUUGUGAAUGAUGAAAAUGAUUUCAAAUGAGUGCAGUUUCAGUACUUUCAAUAAAUCUAUUUUAUUGUAAAGUCAUUCAAGAAUUAUUUUUAUAAAUACAGCAUGUUAUGAAAAUAAAAUUCUUUCAUUUUGACGGGAGUGUACAAAUGGAAUUGUGGUGUUUCAUCUUAUAAGCGUGAUAUAUGAUGGAAGUUUUGUGAUACAAAUAACAGUUUAUGAAAUAUAUGAUGUUAAUAUCUGUAGUAUCGAUUCUAAGUCGAUAAAUGAUAUAUCAAAAUUGUGUAAAUACUUAAUUGCAUAAAUAGUUACGCAAAUAAUAAAAAUAUGUCAAUGAG